RNAcentral lists this long non-coding RNA (2652 nucleotides) under Monodelphis domestica (gray short-tailed opossum). RNAcentral describes it as "lncRNA (ENSMODG00000035128.2)". The record is from RNAcentral. Lineage: Eukaryota; Metazoa; Chordata; Mammalia; Didelphimorphia; Didelphidae.
UGCCCCAGCAUGCACACUGCAUUAGCCUGAUGGACCUCAACUGGCAACCAGCCUAAAGAGAAAGGCCAUGAGGCCAGAAGCCAGAUCAGAGCUGUAAAAAGGAUCCCCCCAGGGGAGAACUACUAAAGUCCUGGACCUCAAAUAUCCAUCAUGGUCUUCUUAAGCCACUCAUUGAUUUGAGAAGAGACUGGCAGUGGUGCAAAGAAAAAGGGAAGCCAAACAGAAGAACCUGGAGCCUGUAAAAACCCCUUUCAGCUGGUCAUAUUCCAGCCUCUUUCUUAUAAAGUUGGAUAGAGAUGUUGUUGUACAAGAAACCCACACAGCAAUACUCACCGUGGCACAAUCACCUCAGAGAAUCUGACAUAUUAUACACCUCUUCUCAUAUGGAGAGGACCAAAGGGGGAGAAUAUAUGGAGAAUAUAAAUAUGUAAAGGAAUACUCAUGAGAACAUAUGACUCCUCAGGGAGGAUGAGCCCUAUACACCAAGAGGGAAUGUGUACUCCUAUGGAGGAAGACUAUCCUUCUCUUCAUAUAGAGGAGUGCAAAUCUUUGCUCUAUAUGAAAGAAUAAAAUCAGGAAUAGGAAUCACAUAAUUCAAGUAGACAAUAUCCUUCUGCAUGGAGGACUGUACAGAGAAGCUUUACAGUCUCCUAAGCAGAAAGAGAGAGAGAAGAGAGAGAGACAGACAGGAAGGGGAAUAGGAGCCCUUGACAGGAAUAGACUGAGGACAUAUGGGAGCCUUCCAACUGGCAGGUUUUAGAGAGUAAUGGAAGCGGGACAGACAGCUGAGGGUCCCUAGGCAUCUGUGCUGGUGUCUGUGGUCCCUUCCAUCCAUGUCCAGCUCCAGGGAUGGGCAGCAGCCACUGGGGAGAGGGAAAGGAGUGGGCGGGAGGGCAUGGAGUCCAAGACAGAGUCGGCAAGCUUGCAGAGCUGAAUCUAGGCAGAGGGAAGGGGGUGUGCUGCAUGGUGGGGGCGAAUGGAGGAUGGGGCUGGGUUGGCAGGAGAAGAAAGGGAGCCUUACCGAAGGGGUGCUGACGUCAACACUCGCGCGCUCAGCGCCGCACCUCCAGCUAGAACUCAGCUCCGCUUGUCUCCGGGUCUCCCGAGAGCUGGCAAUGGAUGGGAGAGAAGAGAGACAAGACAGAGAUGCCAUGGGACCCAGUCAAAUCCUAGUAGAGGCUCCGCUGCCUAAGGAGAGAAGCCCAGUGGCCACUGAGAGCUCAAGCCCCAAGACCCCUGGACACCCGUCGAAUGUAGUUCGCAACUGUUAUCCAAGCAAAGUUCGAACCUUCGCCUUCACCUGCUCUGGGCUCGAGGGCGGCCAAUCACCAAUGCCUUAGGGGUUGGGGAUGGAGGUUCGGGGCCGGGGGAGGGGGAGGGGGAGGGGAGGAGAAGCUCUGGUGCUACAGCCCAAUUCACAAAGACCAAUGGUCCUCUUCCAAGCUAGCACAAAGACUGAAUUAGCUACUCAGGUGGUGCCCCAAGGGAAAACAGCAGCCAGGCACAUUUCUCAGCGCCAUGGGGCUUGGAUCUGAAAGAGCUUGUAGGGUGAUGGGCUAAGAGACAUCUCAGAGGUCCUCUGCUCCACUUUCCUCUUUGGAGGACAAAGGCAGGGCAGGGCAGGGCAGGGCAGGGCAGGGCAGGGCAGGUUCUCUGCCAAGAUCACACAGUCAGGAAGGGGCAGAGAGACACCUGGGAGCACACCUCUCUCUCUAGGUCUCUUCCUGCCAGCCCAGCUCACAUAGCCCCUCUCCUCCACCACACAAGCAUCACAGGCUUGACGUCACAAAGAGCGCCCAUAGUGACCUCAUAUUAUUCAAUACUGUGUUUGGGGCUGUUGCCUCCACACCCACAAAGAGGGACAGCUGCCAGGAUUCACAAAGAAAUAGGGGUUUUCUGGCAGGCUUGACUAGUAGAAUCCAGUCAAGGGAAAGGAAAUCAACAAGAAGAUAUCAUGAAUACUCACUCAUGAAGAAUGGCUCAAAUUCAUUAAUAGAGCGUGAACAUAGGUGUCAUUCCUAAGAGAAGAGAAACAAAACAGGAAUACUGAAGAGAGAACAGGAGUACCUUUCAGUUCACUUCCUGUAAAAUGGUCAUCUAUUUCAUAUGUAUAUACACACACUUAAGUUUAUUGUUUAUGGAAGAGUAUCACAAGGAAUAUACAGAUACCUGAGACAGAGACAGAGAGAGACAGAGAGAACAAGAGAAACCUUAAGGUCUCCUGAGCACAAACAGAGAGAAGAAUUAGAGGAUUAAUAGAACCUGGAGCCUGUAAAAACCCCUCUCAGCUGGUCAUAUUCCAGCCUCUUAUAAAGUUAGAUAAAGAGAUGCUGUUGUACCAGAAACCUACACAGCAAUACUCACCGCGGCACAAUCACCUCAGAGAAUCUGACAUAUUAUACACCUCUUCUCCUAUGGAGAGGACCAAAGGGGGAGAACAUAUGGAGAAUAUAAAUAUGUAAAGGAUUACUCAGGAGAACAUAUAAUGACUCCUCAGGGAGGAUGAGUCCUAUACACCAAGAGGGACUGUGUACUCCUGUGGAGGAAGACUAUCCUUCUCUACUCUUCUUAGGAGGUGUCACAUUCCAUAUUCAUAUAGAGGAGUGCAAAUCUUUCCUCUAUAUGAAAGAAUAAAAUCAGGAAUACGAAUCA